This 468-nucleotide ribosomal RNA is filed under the name uncultured bacterium. Its description in RNAcentral is "partial 16S ribosomal RNA". It matches the Rfam family "Bacterial small subunit ribosomal RNA", at positions 28 to 507 of the family's 1533-position model. The record is from RNAcentral.
GACGAACGCUGGCGGCGUGCUUAACACAUGCCAGUCGAACGGAAAGGCCCUGCUUUUGUGGGGUGCUCGAGUGGCGAACGGGUGAGUAACACGUGAGUAACCUGCCCUUGACUUUGGGAUAACUUCAGGAAACUGGGGCUAAUACCGGAUAGGAGCUCCUGCUGCAUGGUGGGGGUUGGAAAGUUUCGGCGGUUGGGGAUGGACUCGCGGCUUAUCAGCUUGUUGGUGGGGUAGUGGCUUACCAAGGCUUUGACGGGUAGCCGGCCUGAGAGGGUGACCGGCCACAUUGGGACUGAGAUACGGACCAGACUCCUACGGGAGGCAGCAGUGGGGAAUAUUGCACAAUGGGCGGAAGCCUGAUGCAGCAACGCCGCGUGCGGGAUGACGGCCUUCGGGUUGUAAACCGCUUUCGCCUGUGACGAAGCAUGAGUGACGGUAAUGGGUAAAGAAGCACCGGCUAACUACGUG